This 398-nucleotide long non-coding RNA is filed under the name Hordeum vulgare. Its description in RNAcentral is "long non-coding RNA (HVUL_LNC003117)". The record is from RNAcentral. Lineage: Eukaryota; Viridiplantae; Streptophyta; Magnoliopsida; Poales; Poaceae.
CGGAGACGAGUUGGCUAGGUGCAAUGAGCGGGACGAGCUCUGCGGCGGUGCGGACGGCGUGGUGGCGCGAAUCUGUUUCUGACCGGGGCUGGCCUGUCGUGUAUGUGUCCAUUUCCACCUCCGCCUCCGAUUCGUGGCCUUCUCCUUGUAGCAGAGGUUCCGUUGGCCAUAGCAGAGGCCGAAUCAGACCGACGAUGCCUUGUUGUUCGCGCAGCAACACGAUGCACUACGGUGCGUACUUUGUCAGUCAAAUCUUUGAACUUGGAGCUGAUCUGAUGUCUUGCUUAUGUUACCUUUCUUGUAGCUACUGACCUACGUGUACUCCCACUCUAUGCUUUAGGAGUUGCCGUAUUGAUAUUUUGAGGCGUGAGGAUAUUCGAAAGAAAAAAGUUCAUUUU